RNAcentral lists this unclassified non-coding RNA (313 nucleotides) under plant metagenome. Its description in RNAcentral is "partial contains 5.8S ribosomal RNA, internal transcribed spacer 2, and large subunit ribosomal RNA". The stretch from base 1 to 105 matches the Rfam family "5.8S ribosomal RNA", at positions 50 to 154 of the family's 154-position model. The record is from RNAcentral.
GAAAUGCGAUACGUAGUGUGAAUUGCAGAAUUCAGUGAAUCAUCGAAUCUUUGAACGCAUAUUGCGCCCUUUGGUAUUCCAAAGGGCAUGCCUGUUCGAGCGUCAUUUGUACCCUCAAGCUUUGCUUGGUGUUGGGCGUUUUUUGUCUUUGGCUCGCCCAAAGACUCGCCUUAAAACGAUUGGCAGCCGGCCUACUGGUUUCGCAGCGCAGCACAUUUUUGCGCUUGCAAUCAGCAAAAGAGGACGGCAAUCCAUCAAGACUCCUUCUCACGUUUGACCUCGGAUCAGGUAGGGAUACCCGCUGAACUUAAGC